This is a long non-coding RNA of Phycodurus eques (leafy seadragon), 3324 nucleotides long. RefSeq lists it as uncharacterized. The record is from RefSeq and is a predicted model, not a curated record. NCBI's taxonomy places the organism in Eukaryota, Metazoa, Chordata, Actinopteri, Syngnathiformes, Syngnathidae. The transcript is spliced from 5 exons.
CCUUACACACAAACGGACGGGGCUCGCUUAUCCAUCAAGGGUUAGGGAGACGCACGUUCUUCUCUCUCGCAAUGACGAGGACAGGCUGACAGGAGGAAUUCAUCAGGCUGCUUGGAUGGCUUUUCUAUUCUUUGCGAUUUUCCUCCUUAAUUGGGUAAGACUAAAAGAACAUUAUAAUAAGGUAAUUAUCAGGACCGCCAUCGACAUUGCGCGAAUAGGGAGAAGGGCUAGUCAGCUGUUCAGAGAUUCUUAUUUUCCAAAAUACCUUAUUAUUAAUUUGGCUUAGGGCUCGGUAGGACUUGAUCACCCCUUAACGCUCACUCAAAAAGGAUAUACUUGUUUUAUGAUUUUAUAUUUGUAACUAUUUCCAUUUCUUUUCAUUUUUGUGAUUAUUAUUAUUAUCUACUCUAUUACAUACCCUUGCUGUCAUAUUACUAUUAUGUCUUUUAAUAAUUGUUAAAUAUAUUGUAGAAGUUCUCAUUUAUUUGCUUAGCUUGCAUUAGUACGAUGGACGAUUUUGAUAAACGAAGAUGUCUCGCCUUCAAGAAGAUGACUCAGCAGGAAUCAUCAGAGAGAAGGACGUGGCCGGGACGUGUUGGUGCCAUGUUUUCACCUUGAAACCCUCCCCUUAGUACGUUAUGUCUUGUAAACUUAGAAACCUCCCUAUUUUCAAAUAAAUGCAGGAGCGACGGGAGAGAUUGUUUAGAGCGUGUUGAGAGGCUGUAAUCUGAACAAUCUCCCAUGCGCCCUCCUCAUGAGAAAAAGAAACCAGCGUCUUCAUUCCUUUUGUGUCUAUUUUCUAUAAUGUUGGGUAAGAUAAAUCCAACAUUAAAUUGGUCCUUCGAGCCGGAUGUCAACACACCCGAGGAUUCCAGUUGUGGAGCCGACAUCCAGUUAAGAGACCGUGGCCACGGCAAUUGAGACCCUUUCCGGGGACUGGUCUUCGUUCUCCUCCACUGGGAUCUGAAGGUUGACAACAAUCCACAGGAUUUUUUUCGGAAAAAGGACGGCGGACUCCGACAAAUUCUGGGAGGACGGCGGAGUCCUUAAACUUCAAGUGGGAGUGGCAAUGAGCAGCUUGAAGCGAUUCAACCGAACGACAGCAGGUAUCUUGAAAAACUUGUAAGUUGAGUCACUCGUAUCGCAAGGCACCGCUGUAGCUGUUUAGCUUCCCUGUGGAGAAUUCUCAUACUUUUUUUCUAUGAUGUAAUUUUCCAAAUACAGGUACUACAUAUAAAAAUGUAGAUCCUUCCUACUUUUUGGAGAAAGCGUUUCAAUUAAAGCUGAAAGGCUACACUUCAAUCAGAUCUUUAUGGAAGAUAUCAUCAUCCAAAUACUUACGAUGGACCGCCCGGUAAAAUAUAUAUAUGUGUGUGUGUAGGUGUGUGCGCGUGUGUGUGAGCAGACACAUCAUACACCAAGUCAAGGGGGGGGGGGCGGAAGAUGUAGCCUGUUAGUGUAAGUGUUGACCAAGAGAAACUUAUCAUCUCAAUAAUAUAGCAAUGACAGCACACAUUGUUACAGCAAUAAUACAAACGAAGGAGAAAAAUUCAAGUGGUGAUGUCAUAACACUGACGUUUACAAGAGUGCGCCGUCCAAGUGGCUCCGGAAUGAAUGGGUUGGAAUCGGACACACCUGACCUCCUCUCUAUGUACAUGUCGUUCCUAUGGGACAUCGCCAUGAUCAUCCGUCUUCACUGCCGCUUGUUUGCAUUCCAGCCGAUCCCAGCUGACACCCGCCAGUCACACCUACGGACAAUUUAAAGAGUCUCCAAUAAACCUCCUGUGCAUGUUUUUUGGAAUGUGGAAGGAAGCCGGCGUACCCGGAGAAAACCCACACAAGCACGUGAAGGACACACCGGAAAGGUGGAGCAGCUAUCGAACCCCGAACUUCGGAAAUAGCUGUCCGCCGUGCCGAUGGAUGCUUCCGAUUCAGGAGUCUCGUCGUCGGAUGCACGCGGUUCCAAGAUCAACAUCUCACUCUCGAUCUGCUCGGUGAGGAUCUGCUCCUCUUGCUGCAUGGCAAGCUGCUGCUGCUCGCUCAGAGCGGCCUCAGCGGGUUCCUCGCCUCCCGCGCUCUCGCCGUCCGCCACCGGGGGCGCCUUGGGGCUGUGCGACGGCGACUCCAAACUCUCGAUCUGCUCGGUGAGGAUCUGCUCCUCUUGCUGCAUGGCAAGCUGCUGCUGCUCGCUCAGAGCGGCCUCAGCGGUUCUUCAAGAACUUCCAAGUUGCUCAGUCGAUUUUUUUGUUUUAUGUUGUGAAAUAAAUGCUCCUGCACAAGAUUUUUCUCAUGUAAAACCUUGGCUAGAUCUGUGCCUUGCCACAAUUCUGUCUCUGAGCUCUUCAGGCAGUUCCUUUGACCUCAUGAUUCUCAUUUGCUCUGACAUGCACUGUGAGCUGUAAGGUCUUAUAUAGACAGAUGUGUGGCUUUCCUAAUCAAGUCCAAUCAGUAUAAUCAAACACAGCUGGACUCUAAUGACGGUGUAGAACCAUUUUAUGGAUGAUCAGAAGAAAUGGACAGCACCCAAGUUAAAUAUAUGAGUGUCACAACAAAGGGUCUGAAUACUUAUGGCUGUGUCAUAUUUCAGUUUUUCCUUUUUAAUAAAUCAGCAAAAAUAUCAACAAUUAUGUUUUUCUUUCUGUCAAUAUGGGGUGCUGUGUGUACAUUCAUGAGGAAAAAAAAAAAUAAUGAUUUUAACAAAUAGAUGCAAUAUAACAAAGAGUGAAAUAUUUAAGGGGGUCUGAAAACUUUCCGUACCCACUGUAUAUGCCUCAAUUGAGUUUUUGCCCCCUGGACAUAAGUGUGACGUCAAGGUGAAAAGGUCUAUCGGUGUACCUAAUAUUGGUUAUCCAUUUAGGUGUUUUUGGGCUUACAAACAGGCAGACGGGACAAGUGUUGAGACAGGACGGGACAGACAAUGGUGGUGGUGACAGGCAGGGCAUGUGGAGGAAGGGGCAUACAUACCGGGGUGGCAGUGCGGGCUAUGCUCAUAAACCUAACAGCGAUUAGUACAGGUUUCUGGAAGGAGGGGAUUGGGUAGGAAGGGAGGACAAAUUGGGGUUAAGGAGGGUUGAGGACUACAGCUACAGCCUCCUCAAGUGUAUUCCCAUUAUUCAAAUACAGCUCGCAAGUCAUAAUCCAUUUCAUAUAGUUGAAGCUCCUGUCUCAUGCAAAUGAGCAACUGCUCAACCCGCCUCCUCCUACUGCCAAGUGUGCCAAUGCGAGAACGGCUUUUCACUCGUGGAGGCAGCACUUCAAUGAUAACACUGAGAGUUUUGUUGUUUUUACUAUUAACACUUUUAAUGGAAGCUAAGAAAGCUAAAA